CCAGCCCCGCGUGCAGCUCGCACCCCUUCCCACGCCUGUUCGGGGGAGAGCCCCGGGCCUGGAGUGGGAAGCCUGGCUCCAGCUCUGGUUACCUGCAGUGACUCCCCAGGCCGUUUAGGCGAGUCCAUUGGGCCGCCUCUGCCUCGGUUUCCCCACCUAACCACGGAAGGUGCUCCUCCCUUCCAGGCAUCUGUGGUCUUCGAGCUCCACGCGGGAGAGGCGCCGGUCUGGCACCUCCUGCCCAGGGUCGGCGCCUCCUGGCUCUCGGGGAGGGGGGCAUCCUCCAUCCCCUGCACCUGCCUCGAGAGGAACCAGGGACAGAGCACCCCCACCCCCACCAGGAGCUCCGGAAAAACGGCUUCAGAAGAGCAAAUAUACACACACACCCACCUCCCGCCCCAAACAUCCCCGAAGAAAGGUAACCACAGAAACAGCCAGAAAUGUGGAGCUGGGCGAUCGUAUGAGGCUGAGACAAAACUGUCUUUCUAGCGUCUCUAGGGGAGAGCUUGAAUCCCUCCUUCCACUCCUCCUCCACGGAAAACAGAGUGAACUCCUGCUACAGAGGCCGCCAGAGCAACAUGCAAGACCAGCUUUGAGGGGAGCGGGCACAGGGCCUUGCAGGGAAGGUGGGCCGAGCCCAGACCCCUCAUUCUUACUUGGCUCUGAAGGCGGAAAGGCAAAGCUAGACCUCGAGGAAGUUCCCCUCCCUGUGGGCCCUACAGUGAAGAUUACAUGAAGGCAUGUGGGCGGUGGACCAGAGUGCACCGACUGAUGAAGGCGGCCCGGUACCCGCGGGUGCCAUGCCUCCUUCUUAGCCAAGGCCACUCUAGCUCCCCGUGAAGUAUCCAGGUAGAAGGCUGGUGGGGUUACAGGAGUGUAUCUCUCUCAGAUGAGAUACAAGUUGGUCCCUUCCCUUGCGUCCCUCCUGUUCCUUCAAGAGGAGGACUGUCUACCCACCCCGAAGCUUCAUGGAGAGAGAGCACACCGUCGUUAUUCAAUAUGUAGUUUUGAAUUUAACUAGAGCAAAGAAGAAAGCAAAUUCAGGUGGAAGGAAGAAGAAAAGGGAAAAGGGCUGUCCCCAUCCUUCUAAGGAGAUGGUGCAGUGGCUCACCUUUGGGA
RNAcentral lists this long non-coding RNA (1119 nucleotides) under Homo sapiens (human). RNAcentral describes it as "HSALNT0300451". The record is from RNAcentral. Lineage: Eukaryota; Metazoa; Chordata; Mammalia; Primates; Hominidae.